Molecule: non-coding RNA, 322 nt
Organism: Mus caroli (Ryukyu mouse)
Lineage: Eukaryota; Metazoa; Chordata; Mammalia; Rodentia; Muridae
Source: RefSeq, a predicted model, not a curated record
CUUCUCUGGGGCUGUGGACUAUGGCCAUUCUCUUGUAGGUAGAGGGCAUUUGGCACUGUCUUAGUCAGUUUUUAGACAAGUAUUUUCCAGAUUGUAGCUUUCUUCUCCUGACUCAAACCUCACUGAUCAUCCUUUCCACAGAAAAGAUCCGUUCUACUACUUGUUGCUGGUGUUUUAUACGUGGUGGGAGUCCUCAUGAACUGAAUGAACUAGACAUUCUGGCCAAGGAAAAGGUGGUUCCCCAGAUCCUGUUCGACUGUCCAGCGGGCCGGGACAAUAGCCCAAUGCCAGGUGUUUGUGGUUUCUGCCUUUAUAAACCCCU